UACGUAGGCAGCAAGCGUUGUUCGGAGUUACUGGGCGUAAAGGGCGUGUAGGCGGUUUCUUAAGUUUGGUGUGAAAUCUCCCGGCUUAACCGGGAGGGUGCGGUGAAUACUGAGGGACUAGAGUACGGGAGAGGAAAGUGGAAUUCCUGGUGUAGCGGUGAAAUGCGUAGAUAUCAGGAGGAACACCGGUGGUGUAGACGGCUUUCUGGACCGUAACUGACGCUGAGACACGAAAGCGUGGGUAGCAAACAGG
Molecule: ribosomal RNA, 253 nt
Filed under: uncultured bacterium
Lineage: Bacteria
Description: partial 16S ribosomal RNA
Rfam family: Bacterial small subunit ribosomal RNA
Source: RNAcentral